Long non-coding RNA from Capsicum annuum, 618 nucleotides. RefSeq lists it as uncharacterized. NCBI's taxonomy places the organism in Eukaryota, Viridiplantae, Streptophyta, Magnoliopsida, Solanales, Solanaceae. The record is from RefSeq and is a predicted model, not a curated record. The transcript has 3 exons.
ACAUAUUUGGAAUCACCAAUCAGCAAGCUUCAAGAAACAUCUAUUAUCUUUGGAAAUAGAGGUGAAUGACCGAAGAAAGCGUUUGAGUGAAGGGGCUUAUCGCUGGAAACCGUAGUUGCCGAUGCGGAUCAUAUGAUAUUGUAUCCUACAUGGGAGGAUAAUAAAAUAAUUGGGACAUCUCACAUGGGGGGAUUCCCUAUGGUGUACUCACAUGAGGGGUAUACCGGCUCCAAAUCUUGGAAGCUACUUGGAUUGGAGGCUUGGCCGCUGAGCACCAGAGGCGGAUUCCACAUAGUCGUGGAAUUACAAUUGUAAGGUUUGGAGGCACAGUCUAGGGGUCCAGAUAACCUGUAAAUUUCUUCCGACAUAUCACAGAAUUAAGUGGUGAGCCUUCUAUAUUUCGAAAGGACUGAUGUCUGCUAUUUCAUUUAUCAUUUAGUAGUUUUGGAUCUACUGGGGCCUUGUCCCAGUUUUCAGAUAGUUAUCAUUUCAUUCAUGUAGUAGAGAUUUCGCAGAUGGUUUUAGAAAUGUUAAUUUGAGAGUGUGGGACAUUAUUUCCCCAUUAUUGUACGCAUAUGAUUCUUGACCAUGUUUUCGUUAUAUUGUGUAUCUUCCGCA